UACGUAGGGGGCAAGCGUUGUCCGGAAUCAUUGGGCGUAAAGAGCGCGUAGGCGGUCCGGUAAGUCGGUUGUGAAAACUGGGGGCUCAACCCUCAGAGGCCGACCGAUACUGCCGGGCUAGAGUCCGGAAGAGGCGAGUGGAAUUCCUGGUGUAGCGGUGAAAUGCGUAGAUAUCAGGAGGAACACCGGUGGCGAAGGCGGCCCUCUGGACGGAUACUGACGCUGAGGCGCGAAAGCGUGGGGAUCAAACAGG
RNAcentral lists this ribosomal RNA (253 nucleotides) under uncultured bacterium. RNAcentral's name for it is "partial 16S ribosomal RNA". It matches the Rfam family "Bacterial small subunit ribosomal RNA", at positions 524 to 776 of the family's 1533-position model. The record is from RNAcentral.